CGGUUGAUCCUGCCGGAGGUCACUGCUAUCGGUGUUNGUCUAAGCCAUGCGAGUCAUAUGUAGCAAUACAUGGCGUACUGCUCAGUAACACGUGGAUAACCUGCCCUUGGGCCCGGCAUAACCCCGGGAAACUGGGGAUAAUUCCGGAUAACGCACAUAUGCUGGAAUGCUUUAUGCGUCAAAUGGAUUCGUCCNNNAAGGAUGGGUCUGCGGCCUAUCAGGUAGUAGUGGGUGUAAUGUACCUACUAGCCAACAACGGGUACGGGUUGUGAGAGCAAGAGCCCGGAGAUGGAUUCUGAGACAUGAAUCCAGGCCCUACGGGGCGCAGCAGGCGCGAAAACUUUACAAUGCGGGAAACCGUGAUAAGGGGACACCGAGUGCUAGCAUCAUAUGCUGGCUGUUCAGGUGUGUAAACUACACCUGUUAGCAAGGGCCGGGCAAGACCGGUGCCAGCCGCCGCGGUAACACCGGCGGCCCGAGUGGUGAUCGUGAUUAUUGGGUCUAAAGGGUCCGUAGCCGGUUUGGUCAGUCCUCCGGGAAAUCUGAUAGCUCAACUAUUAGGCUUUCGGGGGAUACUGCCAGGCUUGGAACCGGGAGAGGUAAGAGGUACUACAGGGGUAGGAGUGAAAUCUUGUAAUCCCUGUGGGACCACCUGUGGCGAAGGCGUCUUACCAGAACGGGUUCGACGGUGAGGGACGAAAGCUGGGGGCACGAACCGGAUUAGAUACCCGGGUAGUCCCAGCCGUAAACGAUGCUCGCUAGGUGUCAGGCAUGGCGCGACCGUGUCUGGUGCCGCAGGGAAGCCGUGAAGCGAGCCACCUGGGAAGUACGGCCGCAAGGCUGAAACUUAAAGGAAUUGGCGG
RNAcentral lists this ribosomal RNA (863 nucleotides) under uncultured archaeon. RNAcentral describes it as "bacterial SSU rRNA". It matches the Rfam family "Archaeal small subunit ribosomal RNA", at positions 5 to 871 of the family's 1478-position model. The record is from RNAcentral.